RNAcentral lists this ribosomal RNA (301 nucleotides) under uncultured bacterium. Its description in RNAcentral is "partial 16S ribosomal RNA". It matches the Rfam family "Bacterial small subunit ribosomal RNA", at positions 509 to 807 of the family's 1533-position model. The record is from RNAcentral.
CAGUCGCCGCGGGAAUACGUAGGUGGCAAGCGUUGUCCGGAAUUAUUGGGCGUAAAGCGCGCGCAGGUGGUUUAAUAAGUCUGAUGUGAAAGCCUACGGCUCAACCGUGGAGGGUCAUUGGAAACUGUUAAACUUGAGUGCAGGAGAGAAAAGUGGAAUUCCUAGUGUAGCGGUGAAAUGCGUAGAGAUUAGGAGGAACACCAGUGGCGAAGGCGGCUUCUUGGCCUGUAACUGACACUGAGGCGCGAAAGCGUGGGGAGCAAACAGGAUUAGAUACCCCCGUAGUCCCUGUCUCUUAUAC